AUACGGAGGAUCCGAGCGUUAUCCGGAUUUAUUGGGUUUAAAGGGUGCGCAGGCGGCCAUUUAAGUCAGCGGUUAAAUCGUGGGGCUCAACCCCAUUCUGCCGUUGAUACUGGGUGGCUUGAUUGCGGCCGAGGUUGGCGGAAUUCGUUGUGUAGCGGUGAAAUGCAUAGAUAUGACGAAGAACACCGAUUGCGUAGGCAGCUGACCAGACCGCAAAUGACGCUCAUGCACGAAAGUGCGGGGAUCGAACAGGAUUAGAUACCCUGGUAGUCCGCACAGUAAACGAUGAAUACUUGUUUUCGGCGAUAUAAUGUCGGAGGCAAAGCGAAAGCGAUAAGUAUUCCACCUGGGGAGUACGCCGGCAACGGUGAAACUCAAAUGAAUUGGCGGGG
This 392-nucleotide ribosomal RNA is filed under the name uncultured bacterium. Its description in RNAcentral is "partial 16S ribosomal RNA". It matches the Rfam family "Bacterial small subunit ribosomal RNA", at positions 523 to 918 of the family's 1533-position model. The record is from RNAcentral.